AAUAGUUUCACUUUUGUUACAAAAUCCUGCUGGGAAGACCUUAAACUCUCCUUAGAACAUUUACAUUCACUGUAUCUUAUAUAUAUUAUUAUUAUUUUAAUUUUAUUUUUUUCUCCCAUAUGAAAAUGCCAUUGCAGGGGGAGGGUGGACAAAUGUUUUUUUUUGUCCUAUUGUUUAAUGUGAUUGGACUUUGAACUUGAUAUAUUGUCUGUGUGCAACAUUUCAUGAUUGAUAUAAAGAUGUUUGUCCAGAACAGUUUAACUUUUGUUCAAUAAAUCCUGCUGGAAAGACCUUAAACUCUCCUUAGAACAGAAAGGACUGUGAGGGAAAAUUUUAAAUUGCUAUCCACGUGAAUUCUACAGUGCAAUUGUGGUCCUGUACAGCAAGACAAUAUGUGAGUUUUCUUAAUUACAUUGCUUACAUGUGACUGUUAUUUGAAAAAGGAAAACUUUUAGUGUUUCAGUGUUUCUAGCAUGCUAUUGUUUUCUUAAUUACAGCAACAGUGGCAUCAUUUAUUAACCCUCACCAGCAAAACCGCAUCGAGGAACCACCCAGAAUGGCAUCUGCUUUUAAUCAUCUUGAAAAGGAACUGAUUAAACUCUUCGACAGUGAUUACCCUCAGCUCCAGCAGUGCAUAAAGAAUCUGCAAUGUAUCCUCAGAACAUUUAAUGAGAAUAAGAGAACUGCUGAAAAAGGUUCUAAAGAUGGAAAAAUAGCUGGAGCAGCUGGAGGUACUGCACUGGCUGUGGGACUAGUUUUGGCUCCAUUUACACUGGGGAUUUCUGCUCUUAUCGGUGGAGCAGGAGCAGCGGUGGCAACAGGUGGUGCGAUUGGGAGUGGAGUAUGGAAUAAGAAGAUAGCGGACCAGGAGGCACAGUUCAAAAAAGACGCUGAAGCUGAAUUGAGAGCAUUUCAAGAUAAAAUCAUCCCUAUGGCUGAAAAGAUCAAAUGUAUUAAUCAGUGUAUUGAGGAAAUAUCCAGAGACCUUAAUAACCCUGAAAACAACGUCAGUUACUUAAGUAAAUAUUCUAGCUCUGAGUUAGUGCACUUCAUAAAGAUGUAUGAUUCUGGUGGAUUGGCUGUACAGAUUUCCAAAAGUGUGCAUUUUACUAAAGAAAUCACAGACAUUUUGUCUAGGGUUACUACGGAUAUCGUUCAAAAGAUCACUGAUUUACAGCCUCACAUCAGUCUGUUAGAGGACAUGAUGAGAGAAAUUAAGAAAACAACAGACAAAAUGGCAAAACAUUAGGUUUCAAAUCAGUGAAUACAUCUUUCAUGUAAAAAAAAAAAAUUGAUUAAACACAUCGUAAAAACAGUAAUAUUGUGAAUUUAACUACAGGCAUAAUUCUAUGUGAUUGCAUUGUAAAAUGUAAUUUAUCUCUGUAAACUGAAUUUUCAGCAUUAUUACUCAUUAAUUUCACAUGAUCUUCAGAAAUCAUAAUAUACUGUUUUGCUUCUCAAGAAACAUUUCUGAUUAUUACCAAUGUUGUGCUGCCCAAUAUAUUGUGGAAAGAUUAAAUUCAUCAGUAGUUUUUUUAAUAGAACUUGCAAAAGAGCAGUAUUUUAGAUUUUUUUUAAAUCAAUUUAAAAAUCUUUAUUGUAACUUAUCAAAUUAAUAUUUUCUGUAUAAACAUAAUUUUUCAAGACAAUAAAUCUUUAAAAUAUUGAAAAUGAAAACAGUGACCAAUUAUAACCACAUUAGAACAACCAAAAAUGUAAAUUCUGUCAUUAAUUACUCGCCCUCAUGUUGCUCCAAACCCAUAAGACCCUUUUGUGCAGAAAACAAAUAAAGAUUUUUUUUAACAGAUGCCUUGUGUACGCAAAUAACAACAACAAAAAAAUUAUUCAGAAAUGAUUAGAUUAGAUUCAACUUUGUCACUGCACAUGUAAGGUACAAGGCAAUGAAAUGCAGUUAGCAUCUAACCAGAAGUGCAAAUUACAGUAAGUAUAGAAUUUACAAGGUCUACAAUAUGUACAAUAACUAUACAGAUAUAGAUAUAUACAGAGAUAAGUAUUAUGGACGUAAUUUACAGAUUUUAAAUACUAUCAGCAUGAUAUACAGAUAGGUGUACUAUGAACACUAUACAGAUGGAUUAUGUAAAAGUGUAUGUAUCUAUAUAUAGGCAGAACUACAAACAAAUGAACAUAAUUUACACUAUUGAAAUGGACAGUAAAGUGAAGUAAGAAAUAUUACAGUGUGCAAAUGGAUUACUCAGUGUUUCUUGAUGAACAGACAGCAGUGCAAGCAAUAACAAGUUUACGUUUUUUUAGCUUGUAAAUAAAUCAGUCAGAUGUAGUGAUGAGGAGGGGGAGGAGUCUGUGUGUAUGGUGUGUGUGUGUGUGGGGGGGGGGGGGGGGGGGGGGGUUCAGAGUUCAGCGAGCAGACAGCUGUAGGGAAAAAGCUGUUCCUGAGUCUUUUGGUCCUUGUCCUGAGGCUCUUGAAGCACCUCCCAGAGGGCAGGAGGUUAAACUGUCUAUGAUCAGGGUGAGAGGAGUCCUUGAGAAUGCUGUGAGCUCGACGUAGACUGUGUUUCCUCUGGAUGUCCUCAAUAGCAGGAAGUGAUGUCCCAGUUUUUGAGCUCCUUUGUCUUGGUGGUGUUAAGGAGCAGAUUAUUGUCAGCGCAACAUGUGGCCAGGUGUCUCAUCAUUGUCACUGAUGGGGCCAGUCACUGUGGUGUCAUCUGCAAACUUGGAGUUGGAUCCAAACACAGGCUUACAGUCGUGGGUGUAAAGGGAGUAAAGGAAUGGGCUCAGCACACAGCCCUGUGGUACGCCGGUGUUGAGUGUGAUGGUGGUGGAGUGCGUGUGGCCUGACCGAACAUGCUGAAGCUUGUUGGUCUGAAAGUCCAUAAUCCAGUUGCAGAGGGAGGUGUUAAUGUCCAGGUCUCCAAGUUUUGUGGUCAGCUUGGAGGGAAUGAGUCAACAAACAAUAUCCAUGCAUAUGUGUUGUUAUUGUCCAAGUGUGUGAGUGCAGAGUGCAGCACUGUGCAUACUGCAUCCUCUGUGCUCCUAUUUCUGCUUUAGGCAAAUUGGUGUGGGUCCAGUGUGGGUGGGAGGCAGUCAUUGAGGUGUGCCAGGACCAGUCGCUCGAAGCACUUCAUGAUGAUGGGUGUGAGUGCUACGCGGUGGUAGUCAUUUAAGCACAUUGGGGAGGAGUGUUAAAGUACUCGCACAAUGGAUGUGGACUUAAAACAUGUUGGCACAGUUGCUUGGUUGAGGGACAGGUUGAAAAUGUCUGAAGACCCCUGCAAGCUGCUCUGCACAUGCCCUGAGCACACAUCCACAGCCAAAAUAUAUCUGUAUGACACAUGGAUCGCUUUUAUUUCAUUGUUCCGGUUUUAUUCAAAAUGUUCCCAAAACAUGCUCACUAUAUAAUGAAAUACCUGAUAUUCCAAUUGUGAAAUAUCUUGGUUGCUGUAAGGUCCAGCCACUCGGCCCAAGGAAGUUAUCUGGUGCUGGUUGAAGGUUUCCUGCCUGUUCUAUCUUUCAGCAGGUAGAGUUAUUCAAUUUAGGUUCAACUCAAAUCUGACUCCAUUUUAUUAUCUAAUCUGACUCCAUUGUAUUAUUUAAUCUGACCUCGAAUUUAGGUUGGAAUGCAAAUUGGUUGUAUCCAAGUAUCUAGGUAUUAUUAUUCUGGCAUUUUAUUAUUCUAGUUAAACACCUUCUUUUAUAUUAACUCUUUCAUUCAGGUGCUCAUGUUUCCAUCUUGAUGUAUCCCCAACACAUUUUCACAAAUGCACCGUGAGAUCUGGCGAGCUCACACCAACGCAACACUGAUUCUUCAUGUUGCUCUCGUGAUAAAUAAAAAAUUUCUCAGAUUUCAUUAAAAAGUUCUACAUUUAUGCUCCAAUGCUUCUGGUUCUUCAGCUUCUUCCACCAUCCCAAUUCUGGAUUAAUGAGCCACAGCAGAUGUUUACACUUUGAAUGCUUUAGCCUCGCUGUUUUUCUGAAGCAUCCAAAGUGAAAAAGAAAACAAUAACUUAAAUGUAAAUGUAAAAAAAUAUAUAUAAUACAAAAACAAUGGUUGUCCAAAAUGUAAAGUAUACACUUGAGUUGUUUCUACUGUUAGGGCAUUUCCACCUCAGGGCAAAAAAGAGUGGGAGCUGACUUAUAGGAUGAGAACAAUUUUCUAGAAUUUUCAGUAUUUUGUCACUUCCUAUUCAGGGCCCCAGAGUGCAAACUAAUGGUCACAUUUUGCGACUUUGUUGACUAAAUUUUGUGACACUGGUGCGACCACUAUGUUGCCCCACUUCAUAAGCGCUGCUAUUUCUGUUGCAUAUGAGAAACUUCAAACAUCAAGCAAAAUAAAACCUAGUGAAAAUCAUUUGAGCUGCGCAGGAUGGACCGUUUAACAGCUCGGAUCAGCUCAGCGAAAACAAACUUCUCCAAGCUCACAGCAGGUUUACUCGGGAAGCAGUGUUGAUUUCGUGAAACUGAUACUGUCCAGUGCUGGUUAAGGUUGCCAUGAGCCCUAGUGAGAAGCAUUCAAAUAUUGCACAGAAAUCUGUUAUAAACAGGCCAAACAGCAGAGAUAUAUAGCCAGAAGUAGUAACGCUAACUAUAACCAUGCUGGUGUGGUAGAAAUUGUUGAAUUUCAUUACAUUAUGCAUUUCGGGGUUUAUACAACCUUUUGAGAGCGAAAUUCAAGCAAUUUUAAGUAUCUCACACAACCAUUCACAGCACUUUAAAAACUAUAAAGAGGAUACAAUUUAAAC
Long non-coding RNA from Carassius auratus (goldfish), 4715 nucleotides. The record is from Ensembl. Lineage: Eukaryota; Metazoa; Chordata; Actinopteri; Cypriniformes; Cyprinidae.